This 253-nucleotide ribosomal RNA is filed under the name uncultured bacterium. RNAcentral describes it as "partial 16S ribosomal RNA". It matches the Rfam family "Bacterial small subunit ribosomal RNA", at positions 524 to 776 of the family's 1533-position model. The record is from RNAcentral.
UACGUAGGGUGCAAGCGUUAAUCGGAAUUACUGGGCGUAAAGCGCGCGUAGGCGGCUUUGUAAGUUAGAGGUGAAAGCCCGGGGCUCAACCCCGGAACUGCCUUUAAGACUGCAUCGCUUGAAUCCGGGAGAGGUGAGUGGAAUUCCGAGUGUAGAGGUGAAAUUCGUAGAUAUUCGGAAGAACACCAGUGGCGAAGGCGGCUCACUGGACCGGCAUUGACGCUGAGGUGCGAAAGCGUGGGGAGCAAACAGG